Molecule: ribosomal RNA, 500 nt
Filed under: Bruguiera gymnorhiza
Lineage: Eukaryota; Viridiplantae; Streptophyta; Magnoliopsida; Malpighiales; Rhizophoraceae
Also listed under: 9 other names
Description: bacterial SSU rRNA
Rfam family: Bacterial small subunit ribosomal RNA
Source: RNAcentral
CGAAGUCUUCGGACUUAGUGGCGGACGGGUGAGUAACACGUGGGAACGUGCCUUUAGGUUCGGAAUAACUCAGGGAAACUUGUGCUAAUACCGAAUGUGCCCUUCGGGGGAAAGAUUUAUCGCCUUUAGAGCGGCCCGCGUCUGAUUAGCUAGUUGGUGAGGUAAAGGCUCACCAAGGCGACGAUCAGUAGCUGGUCUGAGAGGAUGAUCAGCCACAUUGGGACUGAGACACGGCCCAAACUCCUACGGGAGGCAGCAGUGGGGAAUCUUGCGCAAUGGGCGAAAGCCUGACGCAGCCAUGCCGCGUGAAUGAUGAAGGUCUUAGGAUUGUAAAAUUCUUUCACCGGGGACGAUAAUGACGGUACCCGGAGAAGAAGCCCCGGCUAACUUCGUGCCAGCAGCCGCGGUAAUACGAAGGGGGCUAGCGUUGCUCGGAAUUACUGGGCGUAAAGGGAGCGUAGGCGGACAUUUAAGUCAGGGGUGAAAUCCCGGGGCUCAAC